This 617-nucleotide long non-coding RNA is filed under the name Hordeum vulgare. Its description in RNAcentral is "long non-coding RNA (HVUL_LNC015486)". The record is from RNAcentral. Lineage: Eukaryota; Viridiplantae; Streptophyta; Magnoliopsida; Poales; Poaceae.
GAGGGGGCGCGUGCUCCUCCUCCUACAGGCCUAGCUACAGCAGCAGCCUACGCCACAAACAUUAGCUUUGCUCCAACGCAAGGCGAAACGUGUCUCGUCGAGCUUGGCGGAUCGUGCGCUGUGGCUUUCGCGGCAUCUCUUUCUCCAAAUUCAAUGGCUCGACAGGCUACUCCUCCUCCGACUUAACCCGAUCGAGCGCGACCUGUGCAGUGCAUGCAGCUUGCAAGUUGCCGUUUCUAGGAGUUGCUGCUUUUGCGUGUCACUAGCUUGUCCAAAUUAUUUACCUAUUGGAUCAAAGCUGUCCAUUUUAGCAACGACACAAGCGAGAACCCCUCAUCUUUCAGGGAAACUUUGGGACUUUCGAUGCAUCAACGUGUAUUACAGCUGUUAGGUGGAAUAAUUAUUUAUUGCUUGAGCCUCAUAGGCAUAUAUAUAUAUAUAUAUAUAUAUAUAGUAAUACAAUGACUAACUUAAAGUACAAGGCAAGGUAUGUUAGGAAAAUAAACCGUGUGUGUGCAUGCGUAGAGUGUGUGUAUGGAUCCAUGUCGAGGUCGGGUUGUUUCGAGCCGGUUUGUGGCUAGGUCUACGUUCAUGUGACGACGGAGACGGGAUGCAGC